UGAGUAAUAUAUCGGAACGUGCCCAGUCGUGGGGAUAACGUAGCGAAAGUUACGCUAAUACCGCAUACGAUCUAAGGAUGAAAGCGGGGGAUCGCAAGACCUCGCGCGAUUGGAGCGGCCGAUAUCAGAUUAGGUAGUUGGUGAGGUAAAGGCUCACCAAGCCAACGAUCUGUAGCUGGUCUGAGAGGACGACCAGCCACACUGGAACCUGAGACACGGUCCAGACUCCUACGGGAGGCAGCAGUGGGGAAUUUUUGGACCAAUGGACGCAAGUCUGAUCCAGCCAUUCCGCGUGCAGGAUGAAGGCCCUCGGGUUGUAAACUGCUUUUGUACGGAACGAAAAGGUUUCUAUUAAUACUAGGAGCUCAUGACGGUACCGUAAGAAUAAGCACCGGCUAACUACGUG
RNAcentral lists this ribosomal RNA (406 nucleotides) under uncultured bacterium. RNAcentral's name for it is "bacterial SSU rRNA". It matches the Rfam family "Bacterial small subunit ribosomal RNA", at positions 107 to 507 of the family's 1533-position model. The record is from RNAcentral.